RNAcentral lists this long non-coding RNA (647 nucleotides) under Mus musculus (house mouse). RNAcentral's name for it is "predicted gene 17227, transcript variant 2 (Gm17227)". Lineage: Eukaryota; Metazoa; Chordata; Mammalia; Rodentia; Muridae. The record is from RNAcentral.
AACAGAAAAACUGCUCUGUAGUUCCUUGUAGGAAGCUCCCCCUCAGACUCCUUGAGAUAUGUUAACUUGGAGAACACCUCCAUUCCCUAUCAUUCUGUUGUAACAAGUCUUCAAAGAGCUGCUUGCUUUCUUCAGCCACAGUAGAUGCCUCCUUGACUAGUCCCAGGAAGACAAUAUGACUAUUUCAGCUUCCAAGAGAAGUGAAUGAUGCAGGGAAGAGCCAAUUCAGCCAGGUGGCAGCAAUCUGGCUCUGGGCUUCCUGGCCUCUGACAGGGACGUGCAGGACGACCCUUGGAGAGAAAUGGGUCACUUCUGCGUCUUGUUAGAUGGACCGUUACACAGACUGAGAGGACGCUGAUUGCUGAAGGAGGCAGCCAGCCAAGUCUGUAGCUACCCACCUCUGAAUUUAUUGAAGACAGGGAAGAAAAGAACCCCAAGAGAGGAAUGUGAAUGCCAUAUUCUAAAAGGAAGUUCUAAUUGGCAAUGAGCAUGGAAAACUUACCUGGAAUUACAAUCAAGCUGGGCACAAGAGUACUACUGUCCCGUCCUAUUCCUCUACCUAGUCCAUGCUACUCAUCAAAGACAAAGAGUCUGGCAGGAAUAAAGAAGCUGCUAAACACAAGUCUUAAUAAACGGUAAAAUCAGCA